This 900-nucleotide long non-coding RNA is filed under the name Homo sapiens (human). RNAcentral describes it as "non-protein coding lnc-ZFYVE28-1:1". Lineage: Eukaryota; Metazoa; Chordata; Mammalia; Primates; Hominidae. The record is from RNAcentral.
CCCUGGAGAUGGAGGUUGCAGUGAGCCAAGACUGUGCCACUGCACUCCAGCGUGGGCGACAGAGCGAGACUCUGUCUCAGGGGGGAAAAAGAAAACAACAAAUGGUUUGCUUUGUUCUAGUUCAAUUUUUUCAACGAUUUAAAAAGUUUAUAGGACUCAAGGAACCAAAACUGUAUCUGAUGGCCUCAAGGGUUAUGUUUGAAGGCUUGCUGACUUGCAGAAAACUCAAGCUGACUGUUCAAGAUGUUCAGGGCAAAAACUGCCUAGCUUCCAUGCGUGGGUCUUACCCAUGACAAAAUGUGUUGUGUGAUUUAAAAAUGGCAGACCACCCGGGUGGAUCACUUGAGGUCAGGAGUUCGAGACCAGCCUGGACAACAUGGCAAAAUCCUGUCUCUACAAAAAAUACAAAAAUUAGCUGGGCGUGGUGGUGCAUGCCUAUAGUCCCAGCUACCCAGGAGGCAGAGGCUGCAGUGAGCUGAGAUCACGCUACUGCAUUCUAGCCUGAGUGACAGUGAGAAACCGUCUCAAAAAAAAAAAAAAAAAAAAAAAAAAAAAAGGCAGACCAUGAUUGAAGCUCAUGUUGAUGUCUAGACUACCAAUGGUUAAAGAAAACCUCAGCACCAACAGGUCUAAGAUGAUGGAAAUCAUGAAAGAGAGAUGCAGACAAAUAACUUGAAAGAAGUGGUGGAGAAAAUUAUUCCAGACAGCACUGGAGAAGACACAGAAAUGCCUGCAAAUCUAUUUAUCCGCUCCACGAUGUCUUCUCUGUGAGGAAAGUUAAAAUGCUAAAAACACUCAGGUUUGCAUUGGGAAAACGUAGGGAGCUUUGUGGUGAAGACAGCAGUUCUGGAAAAGCUACUGGGAUGAGCUAGGUACUAAAGUGAAAAGUCCUAUUUAUGA